GGCUUCUUGGUCUAGGGGUAUGACUCUUGCUUUGGGUGCAACAGGUCGUGGGUUCAAAUCCCAGAUGAGCCC
RNAcentral lists this transfer RNA (72 nucleotides) under Egretta garzetta (little egret). It matches the Rfam family "tRNA". From Rfam's summary of the family: Transfer RNA (tRNA) molecules are approximately 80 nucleotides in length. Their secondary structure includes four short double-helical elements and three loops (D, anti-codon, and T loops). The record is from Rfam by way of RNAcentral. Lineage: Eukaryota; Metazoa; Chordata; Aves; Pelecaniformes; Ardeidae.